This is a long non-coding RNA of Dendroctonus ponderosae (mountain pine beetle), 637 nucleotides long. RefSeq lists it as uncharacterized. The transcript has 2 exons. The record is from RefSeq and is a predicted model, not a curated record. Lineage: Eukaryota; Metazoa; Arthropoda; Insecta; Coleoptera; Curculionidae.
ACAAAUGUACACCACAUGUCGAGACUUGCAAAGUGCAGCCCGUGCGCCCGGGAUGCUUGUUUAGACCUGCAAAGGGAUGAAAUGCGACUUGCGCUGUGCUUGCAAUCUACAUCAGUACAAAUACGAAUGCCAAAAACAAAACGUUACUCGUUUGUUUCUGGGAUUUUGAGCUUAAAAGUUUGACUGUGAGUGAAUCGACGUCAGUGUUUACAGUGCCGGAAAAAGUCAGAACUGAUACGAAAUAUGGCUGCAUUUAAGAAGAAAUGUCAACAGUACAGUGUUGAUUAUUUGAAAUUUGAUUUGCUUCCAUCAACGUAUUACAAGAGGAGCUACUUGAGCCCUAAAAAUAUUCUGGGCUAUGGGAAAUUGUGAGAAAAUUUUUGAUAGCGUUUCCCUCGUCCUAUCUUGUCGAAAGAAGUUUUAGUGCCGUUACCAACCUGUUAACAAGAAAAGGAGCAGAUUGAACAUCAGAGAACGAGGAGAUUUGAGAUUACAAAACUGAAGCCAAAUAAUGAUAAUUUACUGUCAAUUCAGCAAGUACAUCCGUCUCAUUAAAAGUAUGAGUAUGAGAAAAUAUUGUUGAUUUACAUUUCAGAGUUCAUUCUUGACUGUUUGUAAUAAUAAAUGUUUACAAUUU